CUCUCGUCAUCAUCUUCCUCGAUCUCCAUUGCUGAUUUCAUCUUCAAACUCAAGCUGAGAAACAACUUUAAUAUAUAGUUUAGUGCAAGAUAUUCUCUUGAGAUGUUAAUUUGGAGGUUGUGAUCAGGUUUCAGGAAAGAUUGUUGGAUCCAAAAGAAGCAAGCCGGUAAACCGAAGAGUAUUAGAUUCGACGUUAUGACUGUUACCGUUCCUGAAUUUAUCUUGGCUGAUGAAUAUUCAUAGUUUAAAUUUUUUUCAUUUCCAUAAUGUGCUCUAUUGAUUGAAUUUUUACAGAUUUAGUCCCAAUUGUGGCCAAGAUAUAGAGUUUCAUAAUUACUUUGAUUCUCCUCUCUUUUACGAUUUCUUCCAGGCGGUGGAUCUCUAGGUAUAAAAAGCAAAAGCUUAGGAGGAACGAAAGGGACGUCCUAACGACCGACCUAUUAUUGAUCAUGAUGGUCUUCCGAGACAACACUCAUCGAAUCAGGAUAUGGAUAAAAUGAAGACAAGAUACGAGCUUUUAGCUGAAGAAAGAGAUUAAAAGCGUUGAAGAAUGUCAUACCGCGGCAAGAAGUGGA
This is a long non-coding RNA of Raphanus sativus (radish), 575 nucleotides long. RefSeq lists it as uncharacterized. The transcript has 3 exons. The record is from RefSeq and is a predicted model, not a curated record. Lineage: Eukaryota; Viridiplantae; Streptophyta; Magnoliopsida; Brassicales; Brassicaceae.